ACCUAACGGGUUCGGCUGCGGCCGAGGCGCCGCGGGGCUGCGCGGGCAAGUCGGAGCUAAGGGCUUGCCGACAAGGUGAGGGGCAAGGAGGUGCGGGGCCAGGCAGAAGUCUUAGAAAUCAUCUUGGAUAUUUCCCUCUUCUUUGUUCGCUGUUUCCAGAAGUGAGCAGACAGACCUGGGCUCUCUCCUCAACUUGCCCCAAGCUAACUGUGGAGUCGAAAGUUAACUUCAAGUGUACUCAUCAGGUAACAAUAUUCAGUGGGACUCUGCCUGAAUUUGAGGAGUAGUUGAGAUUACCAGUGAUGAAUACAGUGACUUUUGGGCUGUGUAUCUCCGUAUUUUGAGGAGAAGGUGAGAACUUUACCUUUAAGACAGAUAGCUGUGUUUUGUUACAAGAAAAAUUGGAGUUGUUUUAUUGAUGCACAGAAGUCAAUAACUGUUUAGAAGGGGGGAGCCAAACAGCCGCAGGGCUGUCCUCAGUUGUACUGCUGCGUUUUUGCUAAAGGGGUUCUUUGAGGUUUUUUUUUUUUUAAGAUUUUAUUUAU
Molecule: long non-coding RNA, 545 nt
Organism: Neogale vison (American mink)
Lineage: Eukaryota; Metazoa; Chordata; Mammalia; Carnivora; Mustelidae
Exons: 3
Source: RefSeq, a predicted model, not a curated record